CUCAAGACCCAACGAAUUUAAAUAGAACAAGCGAAAACUGGGUUUUAAUUAAAACAAAGUAUAUGAUUGGAAAGUUAAGUUAACAAGAGUAAUGUGCCAUAUGUAAUAAGUCAAAUUAGAUAGCCAUUUUUGAACUUCAUUUCUGCUUAACACAACUGCUUCACAAUCUAAUACAUUUUCUUGUACCUCAAAUCUAGUUAACUAGAAAAGUCAGAAAACUAGCAAAGCGGUCAAUUCUUGCUAAAAAAAUCUUGAUUGUAAGCAACAUUUUGAGACUAACUAACAAAUUCAAGAAAUUGUCUGUGCUUCUAACGAAAGAGCACAAUGUAUUUACUUAGAAAUGAAUGAAUGAAUGGCUUUCCACGCAGCAGUUCCUUCUAAAUGGAAUUCUAUGAGCUUGCCCAGAAUGGCAAGGCAUCCAGGAGUCCCAUGAAGCGUGUGCCCCCUUGAUAAUCUGACCUGUGCAAAACGAUGGUUUGAUGGAUGCCACCUGCAUCAGUGUCAAAGUAUUGCAACUUCAAUAAUGCAAAUAAACCGUGAAAUGAUCCACUGUCAGAUGCAGCAGCAGAAGAUGCAGCCAUCCUUAUUCGCAUUCACAUUCGACCCCUGGACACAUCAACUAAUUUGACCCCGACAAUGGGGCAAUUUGCAUUCCUCCUUGUGACCUGGCAAAGGGCAAUUUAAUAAGCCCCAUAAGGAAAAGGGAUAACAAUGGGCGGAGGAAGAUGGAGAACAUGGAAGAUGGAGAUCCCGAUCCCUUGAGACUGCUAACAAACUUACUGUAAUAAUGCGCAAUAAUGACGAAGAUGAGAACGAACAGGGCGCCGGCGGAGAAGGCCCACUCCCAUGGACCAGGAGCAGGAGCAGGAGCAGGAGCAGGAUCUGGACCAGGACGAGGCAGGCCAAAGGGGCCAUUUGAUUUCCGCUCUAAGCGGAUGUCUCAUUUGAGUCCCAGUCGCAGCCAACAAGCCACCAACACAGCCGCAUUUUCUCGCAGUGUGGGCGAGUGUGCAUGUGUAAUUUUUACAAAUUGCUACAACGAGCCCCAAGCCAAGGCAAAUGGGGCCAGUUGAUUGUAUUUAAAGUUUCUUUUCUUUCUGCGCCAGAUAAAAUGGCAAAAUGGAGCGGGGUUUUUUGGUGGGGAAGACCGAAGUUGAGUUAACAACUUCUGGAUGCCCUUGCUCUUGCAGGACGUGAUAUGUCAGCUAGGAGCCUUCAAAAAUAAAACAAAAUGUAUCUCAAAUACAAAA
This is a long non-coding RNA of Drosophila yakuba, 1250 nucleotides long. RefSeq lists it as uncharacterized. The transcript has 2 exons. The record is from RefSeq and is a predicted model, not a curated record. Lineage: Eukaryota; Metazoa; Arthropoda; Insecta; Diptera; Drosophilidae.